AGCAGCCGCGGUAAUUCCAGCUCCAAUAGCGUAUAUUAAAGUUGUUGCAGUUAAAAAGCUCGUAGUUGAAUUUCGGGAUUGGCGCAUCGGUCGUGCCUCACGGGGUAUGAACUGGUGCAGUCAAUUUCUCACCUUCUGGAGAACCGCGAUGUCCUUAAUUGGAUGCCGCGGGGAACCAGGACCUUUACUUUGAAAAAAUUAGAGUGUUUAAAGCAGGCAUUUUUGCUUGAAUACAUUAGCAUGGAAUAAUAAAAUAGAACGGCAUGGUUCUAUUUUGUUGGUUUCUAGGACCACCGUAAUGAUUAAUAGGGAUAGUUGGGGGCAUUAGUAUUCAAUUGUCAGAGGUGAAAUUCUUGGAUUUAUUGAAGACUAACUACUGCGAAAGCAUUUGCCAAGGAUGUUUUCAUUAAUCAAGAACGAAAGUUAGGGGAUCGAAGACGAUCAGAUACCGUCGUAGUCUUAACCAUAAACUNUGCCGACUAG
RNAcentral lists this unclassified non-coding RNA (483 nucleotides) under uncultured Diversispora. RNAcentral describes it as "SSU rRNA". It matches the Rfam family "Eukaryotic small subunit ribosomal RNA", at positions 569 to 1049 of the family's 1831-position model. Lineage: Eukaryota; Fungi; Glomeromycota; Glomeromycetes; Diversisporales; Diversisporaceae. The record is from RNAcentral.